Molecule: ribosomal RNA, 398 nt
Filed under: Priestia megaterium
Lineage: Bacteria; Bacillati; Bacillota; Bacilli; Caryophanales; Bacillaceae
Description: bacterial SSU rRNA
Rfam family: Bacterial small subunit ribosomal RNA
Source: RNAcentral
AGCAGUAGGGAAUCUUCCGCAAUGGACGAAAGUCUGACGGAGCAACGCCGCGUGAGUGAUGAAGGCUUUCGGGUCGUAAAACUCUGUUGUUAGGGAAGAACAAGUACAAGAGUAACUGCUUGUACCUUGACGGUACCUAACCAGAAAGCCACGGCUAACUACGUGCCAGCAGCCGCGGUAAUACGUAGGUGGCAAGCGUUAUCCGGAAUUAUUGGGCGUAAAGCGCGCGCAGGCGGUUUCUUAAGUCUGAUGUGAAAGCCCACGGCUCAACCGUGGAGGGUCAUUGGAAACUGGGGAACUUGAGUGCAGAAGAGAAAAGCGGAAUUCCACGUGUAGCGGUGAAAUGCGUAGAGAUGUGGAGGAACACCAGUGGCGAAGGCGGCUUUUUGGUCUGUAAC